Small nucleolar RNA from Psammomys obesus (fat sand rat), 143 nucleotides. RefSeq annotates it as small nucleolar RNA SNORA48. Lineage: Eukaryota; Metazoa; Chordata; Mammalia; Rodentia; Muridae. The record is from RefSeq and is a predicted model, not a curated record. The transcript has a single exon.
AAGUCCAGCAAUGGACAAAGAGAUACCUUGUUGGUAGUGUUGUUCUUUUGUCAGUCAGGGGUGGAGUAGAUGGCAGUCCUUUGUUGUUCCUAGCUUGAUGCUUGGCUUGAUAGCCAAAGCUGUCUGAUACCUAGGACUCAUAA